UAAAAUGCUUUCGUGUCCACGAGAAGUGGA
RNAcentral lists this small RNA (30 nucleotides) under Bombyx mori (domestic silkworm). RNAcentral's name for it is "piRNA piR-bmo-1315299". The record is from RNAcentral. Lineage: Eukaryota; Metazoa; Arthropoda; Insecta; Lepidoptera; Bombycidae.